RNAcentral lists this transfer RNA (89 nucleotides) under Clostridiales bacterium. Its description in RNAcentral is "tRNA-Ser". It matches the Rfam family "tRNA". Rfam says of the family: Transfer RNA (tRNA) molecules are approximately 80 nucleotides in length. Their secondary structure includes four short double-helical elements and three loops (D, anti-codon, and T loops). Further hydrogen bonds mediate the characteristic L-shaped molecular structure. tRNAs have two regions of fundamental functional importance: the anti-codon, which is responsible for specific mRNA codon recognition, and the 3' end, to which the tRNAs corresponding amino acid is attached (by aminoacyl-tRNA synthetases). tRNAs cope with the degeneracy of the genetic code in two manners: having more than one tRNA (with a specific anti-codon) for a particular amino acid; and 'wobble' base-pairing, i.e. permitting non-standard base-pairing at the 3rd anti-codon position. Lineage: Bacteria; Bacillati; Bacillota; Clostridia; Eubacteriales. RNAcentral also lists the same sequence under 3 other names. The record is from RNAcentral.
GGAAGCGUAUCGAAGUGGUCAUAACGGGCCUGACUCGAAAUCAGGUAGCCCGCAAGGGCUCGUGGGUUCGAAUCCCACCGCUUCCGCCA